This 72-nucleotide transfer RNA is filed under the name Ovis aries (sheep). It matches the Rfam family "tRNA". From Rfam's summary of the family: Transfer RNA (tRNA) molecules are approximately 80 nucleotides in length. Their secondary structure includes four short double-helical elements and three loops (D, anti-codon, and T loops). Lineage: Eukaryota; Metazoa; Chordata; Mammalia; Artiodactyla; Bovidae. The record is from Rfam by way of RNAcentral.
UCCCUGGUGGUCCAGUGGCUAAGACGGUGUGCUCCCAAUGCGGGGGCCCAGGUUCAGUCCCUGGUCAGGGAA